RNAcentral lists this ribosomal RNA (560 nucleotides) under uncultured bacterium. RNAcentral's name for it is "partial 16S ribosomal RNA". It matches the Rfam family "Bacterial small subunit ribosomal RNA", at positions 355 to 1375 of the family's 1533-position model. The record is from RNAcentral.
UGGGGAAUAUUGGACAAUGGGCGCAAGCCUGAUCCAGCCAUGCCGCGUGAGUGAUGAAGGCCCUAGGGUUGUAAAGCUCUUUCACCGGUGAAGAUAAUGACGGUAACCGGAGAAGAAGCCCCGGCUAACUUCGUGCCAGCAGCCGCGGUAAUACGAAGGGGGCUAGCGUUGUUCGGAUUUACUGGGCGUAAAGCGCACGUAGGCGGACUUUUAAGUCAGGGGUGAAAUCCCGGGGCUCAACCCCGGAACUGCCUUUGAUACUGGAAGUCUUGAGUAUGGUAGAGGUGAGUGGAAUUCCGAGUNUAGAGGUGAAAUUCGUAGAUAUUUCGGAGGAACACCAGUGGCGAAGGCGGCUCACUGGACCAUUACUGACGCUGAGGUGCGAAAAGCGUGGGGAGCAAACAGGAUUAGAUACCCUGGUAGUCCACGCCGUAAACGUGAAUGUUAGCCGUGGGGAGUUACUCUUCGGUGGCGCAGCUAACGCAUUAAACAUUCCGCCUGGGGAGUACGGUCGCAAGNGUUAAAACUCAAAUGAAUUGACGGGGUCAUAGCUGUUUCCU